AUGGCUUGUUGCCACAUGAAUGCCAGCUUCCACCAGCAGCUGUUUUGGACAUCGAAGCAUCUGAGGACACCUUUCCAUCUUGGAAAAGCACUGCCAUCACCAGCAUCACACCGGGGCUGCCAUGGAGCUGGGAAAAGCGCUUCCAGCUCUUGUUCCUGGCCAAAGCUGAUGAAGAAGCACUACUGGCAGCGUUAUGGUGAGGAACACAUGAUGAUGCUCCAGCCCUGCAGGUUCUGCUGGUCCCCAGGUGCUGGGAGCUGCAGGCUCCUUCCCAGGCACUUCCAAUGCACCCUGCAGGCUGCGUUGCUCGAGUCAUGUAGCUGUGUUGCUUUUCAGGCAGUUUAGACAGUUUUUAUGAAGGUAAGAAGAUUUUUCUUUUGAUUUUUUUUUUAAAAGAACUUACUAUUUUCUUGAAUUCCUCACCCAUGCACGUCAGUGGGGUCUCAGACCAGCUGGUUUUGGACGCACUCGGAAAUCCCCGCAGGGCUUGUUUUCUGGCAGGGCUGGGAUGCUCUUCCUGCUGGUAGCUAGCCUACCAUGAGAACGUUUCUUUUUAUUUAGUCGCAUUUAUUUAUUUGUCCAAACACACAGCAGCCCAAGCAUGUAUUUGUGUAUGUGUGCUCAAAUGUCUUCCAAAAGCCACUCCUACCACCCCUGCAAAAUAGUUUGAGGAUGAUACAAGAACGAUAAAUAUCUGGCCAAGGGGAAUGUUUUGGAGUGAAUGAACGGGAGUUGUGAAUGGAGACGGCUGUGGCAGCACGGCACUGUGGUGGCACUGAUUUCACCCAGCAUGGGACCGGGGGAGCAGAGGCAAUGCCCGGGCAUCCCAGGGGAGAGGCAAAGUCCAGGAGUGCCCAGUGAGGAAAGUCCCUCGCUCAAGCAAGACACUUCAUGCCCCAUUCAAGCUUCUGUUCUGGCCUGGAUUGAAGUCUGGGUUUGUGCUUAAUUCUUCAUCCUGAAAUCCACGCUUAACUCAACAUGGGCUUGGAAAGGGGAAGCAGGGAUUUGAAAUCCAUGGCAGGAAUUAGCUGUGCUGUUCAUAAAGGCUUUCAGCUUAAUCAUGGAAUAUUUUUUCUAAUUCAUAAGAAAUUCUAGUACAUGGGACUAAAAUAAUGUCACUUUAUUAUUAAUACCCAGGGAAAGCCUCAGGGACUGUGUCCCUGUUAAAAGAUGGUUUACAUUUUAGUAAAAUACUGCCUGUAUAGGUAUGUUUCUGGACAUGUUUCUUUUUUUUUUUUUCCUUCGGUCUU
This 1250-nucleotide long non-coding RNA is filed under the name Anser brachyrhynchus (Pink-footed goose). RNAcentral describes it as "lncRNA (ENSABRG00000020091.1)". Lineage: Eukaryota; Metazoa; Chordata; Aves; Anseriformes; Anatidae. The record is from RNAcentral.